Molecule: long non-coding RNA, 1664 nt
Filed under: Homo sapiens (human)
Lineage: Eukaryota; Metazoa; Chordata; Mammalia; Primates; Hominidae
Description: non-protein coding lnc-BRAT1-2:2
Source: RNAcentral
UGGCGAGGUGGGAGCCUUGAGAAAUAGCUGGCUCGGACCCAUGGCGGGGUUUGUGUGUCAACUCCCUGGUCCUCAGAGAAUCCGAGCCACGGGAGAGCAAACGCUGCUUCCAAAACCAAAGGAGGAAUUUUGCAAUCGUUUAGACGGGUUAUAAUAGAAUCUCAUUCAGAUCUUGAAGGUUAUCGGUGCUUUCUGCAGGUUUUUAUUCCUCAAAAAUGCAGCCAAGCUUUGCUGUGCUUAUCUUGGUGGAUCUGAGCUAGGUUGGGCUAUCUUUUCCUAAUUCAAUUGCCUUUUUUUUGCAAGGAAGGGGGUUUCUGGUCCAUCGGAGGGAUCAAGGGCAUGGUCCUCACGUCUCGUCAGGAGACAAAAAUAGACAUUCAGCAGACAGACCACAGCCAGCGCAUGCGACCAGCGUCGUUUGGCUAUUUUAGUCUCUUCUUAAUACACAGACAAACGAGCAAAGAAAAAGCUACUUUGUCCAACACCGGGCCCUGGGUUGGAGUUUAGCCCUGCUUGGCUCUGCCCGCUAGUCUCAGUCAGGUCACUCACCCCAGGCCUGCGGGAACGGUGGUCUUGGUGGUCUUCUCUGGCCCUUCCACCUCUUCUGCCUUGUGGGGACCACCCAAGCCCUCUCCCGACUUGCCCAGAGGCUGCACGCCUCUCUGGCAUCACAGUCCGCACGGAGCCUGGCUGUAAGGCUCCACUGAAAUCCCCCCGGCGCUGGCUUCGUGCCCCAGGCACACCCACCUCACUUCUGCCUCUUUUCUGCUGGUUUCUGGCCUGUUUGGUCCCAGCCCCUCCCUGCACUCUCUCCGCAGCUGUCUGGUGGGUGAUGUGAACCAAGGGACACCCAGGGUCAUGGCACUGCCUGGAUUCAGUUUGGUAAUCGUCGGCAGUCUGUCCCUGGCUUCUGAGCCUGGGGCCUCCUCCUCUUUCUCCCCAUCCUGGAUGAGCAGGACACGCUGGGGAGACAGCGUCCUACAAAGGCCUCCUAAGAGCUGUGCCCUGUGCCAGGAAAGCCUCCUGUAUCUCCAAGGAUGUCCCUGGAGCCCUCCAGCUGGUGCCUCUGCUGAGGUCUGUGAGCAGCGGGAAUAGGCCUCUAGGGGAGGAGUUGGGGACAGGCCUCUAGGGGAGAGCACACCUCCGGGUACUGCACCUGUGGCUCACCAGCCACCUGCACGGGGCCAGCUUCAGCCUCAGCAGUGUCAGCUCAACAGACGUGACUGCUGUCAACACAGUGGGGCCAGGCCCUGGAGACUGACAUCUCCUGUGGCUGCUUGUUUAAAGGGCAUGGGAUAGAGAAAGAGUGUGUUAUUUUAAAGCUGGACUACCUAACAGCCUCUGAUAGCAGAUACAGCUUUGCUGCUGUUCUUGAAGUUCAAGGUGAUGUGGAGGUGUUGCAGUGACAAUCAGUACACCGUGAACAACACCUGCCACCAACGUCGACCCUGAAGUGGUAGAUGGGGCCUGCUUUGGCACUUGACGCUGGGGCAGGAGUCCCUUUCUUGGGGACUCACUCUCUACUUCGUCUCCCCCGGGAGUUGUCUACUUUCCUAGGCCCUGCCAGCAGCCCCCACAGCUCCGCCCAGCCCACUCCACCAGCUUGCUGCUCCCAUGGCUCAGCCCCACUCACAGCUCACCCCUCCCAUGGCUAGGCCCCGCCC